GACGAGGCACUACGGUGCUGAAGCAACAAAUGCCCUGCUUCCAGGAAAAGCCUCUAAGCAUCAGGUAACAUCAAAUCGUACCCCAAACCGACACAGGUGGUCAGGUAGAGAAUACCAAGGCGCUUGAGAGAACUCGGGUGAAGGAACUAGGCAAAAUGGUGCCGUAACUUCGGGAGAAGGCACGCUGACACGUAGGUGAAGUGAUUUACUCAUGGAGCUGAAGUCAGUCGAAGAUACCAGCUGGCUGCAACUGUUUAUUAAAAACACAGCACUGUGCAAACACGAAAGUGGACGUAUACGGUGUGACGCCUGCCCGGUGCCGGAAGGUUAAUUGAUGGGGUCAGCGCAAGCGAAGCUCCUGAUCGAAGCCCCGGUAAACGGCGGCCGUAACUAUAACGGUCCUAAGGUAGCGAAAUUCCUUGUCGGGUAAGUUCCGACCUGCACGAAUGGCGUAAUGAUGGCCAGGCUGUCUCCACCCGAGACUCAGUGAAAUUGAACUCGCUGUGAAGAUGCAGUGUACCCGCGGCAAGACGGAAAGACCCCGUGAACCUUUACUAUAGCUUGACACUGAACAUUGAGCCUUGAUGUGUAGGAUAGGUGGGAGGCUUUGAAGUGUGGACGCCAGUCUGCAUGGAGCCGGCCUUGAAAUACCACCCUUUAAUGUUUGAUGUUCUAACGUGGACCCGUGAUCCGGGUUGCGGACAGUGUCUGGUGGGUAGUUUGACUGGGGCGGUCUCCUCCUAAAGAGUAACGGAGGAGCACGAAGGUUGGCUAAUCCUGGUCGGACAUCAGGAGGUUAGUGCAAUGGCAUAAGCCAGCUUGACUGCGAGCGUGACGGCGCGAGCAGGUGCGAAAGCAGGUCAUAGUGAUCCGGUGGUUCUGAAUGGAAGGGCCAUCGCUCAACGGAUAAAAGGUACUCCGGGGAUAACAGGCUGAUACCGCCCAAGAGUUCAUAUCGACGGCGGUGUUUGGCACCUCGAUGUCGGCUCAUCACAUCCUGGGGCUGAAGUAGGUCCCAAGGGUAUGGCUGUUCGCCAUUUAAAGUGGUACGCGAGCUGGGUUUAGAACGUCGUGAGACAGUUCGGUCCCUAUCUGCCGUGGGCGCUGGAGAACUGAGGGGGGCUGCUCCUAGUACGAGAGGACCGGAGUGGACGCAUCACUGGUGUUCGGGUUGUCAUGCCAAUGGCACUGCCCGGUAGCUAAAUGCGGAAGAGAUAAGUGCUGAAAGCAUCUAAGCACGAAACUUGCCCCGAGAUGAGUUCUCCCUGAGACUUUAGGUCUCCUGAAGGAACGUUGAAGACGACGACGUUGAUAGGCCGGGUGUGUAAGCGCAGCGAUGCGUUGAGCUAACCGGUACUAAUGAACCGUGAGGCUUAACCUUACAACGCCGAAG
RNAcentral lists this ribosomal RNA (1393 nucleotides) under Salmonella enterica subsp. enterica. RNAcentral describes it as "bacterial LSU rRNA". It matches the Rfam family "Bacterial large subunit ribosomal RNA", at positions 1568 to 2925 of the family's 2925-position model. The record is from RNAcentral. Lineage: Bacteria; Pseudomonadati; Pseudomonadota; Gammaproteobacteria; Enterobacterales; Enterobacteriaceae.